CUACUAUGUUCUUACAAGAUAUCUCUCUCUCGUUCUCUCUUCAACACUAUUUUUCUUUCCAACCAAUUCUCUUUCUUUCUUUCUUUCUUUCUUUAUUUCUACUUUCUAACGAUCUUUCUUUCGAAUAUCGCGGUUUUCCAAGCUCGUUUCACGCUAGUUUUCGUUCGGUCGAUUAAUUGUGUCGUUGGUUAUCAACGGUAGAAGAAAUUUUUCAAAAGAAACGUUAAACUUUUUAUUUCCUUCGAAUCAGUCGUAAGGAAUGGUGAAUAAAUUUAGGAUCGCACGAAGUUUAUAGAAUCUGCGAGGGGGUGGGGAAAUUGAAUAAAUAAAUGUAUAAGUUAUAGAACGAAUUUCCUUUAUCCUGUAUCCCACCCACCCCCCUUUUUUAUUUUUUUUAUUUUUUUUUUUUUCUUUUUUUUUUACUUUCUCUUAUUAUAAUUUUCCCAAGCUAUAUCGAUUAAUUAUAAAUUCUAUUUAUCUUUAUCGAUAAGGGGACCAUCCUUCGAGAUUUCAAUUAACCUAUUUUAAUUAAUUAUUCGUCCUUUUUUCCAUUCUAUUCUUUUCUUUACCUCUCUUUUUUUCUUCUUCUUCCUUUUUUCCUUUUCCUUUCUUAAACUCGAUGGUAUCUCUCGUUUGCGAAAGUUCCAAGGAUAUAAUGAAGCUCGAGUAAAAAAAAAAAAAAAGUAAAAAAGAAAAAAAAAGAAGAAGAAUUUAUCUAUUAUGGGAACGGUGACAAAUGGAAAGGAUGGAGGAACGCCGAAAAAAAGGAAAUAAAAAUGAAAAAAAAAAAAAAAAAUUUUGUAAAAAAGAAGAAUCGAAAGAAAGGAAGAAGAAGAGGAAGAAGAUGAAGAAGAGGAAAGAGAACAGGAGAUAAGAACAGAUGGAACGACGCGAAAACACUGAUGAGAUUAAAAACGCCUUUUUACUUGACGUAUGCUCGAUUCAAUGUUAGAACUUAACGAUCGAUCAUUUCUAUGCAUUAUCAUUUUCUUGAAUCGAGUUUAGACCCUUGAAAAAGAGAGGAAUAUAAAGGAAAAAAGAAAAGAGAGACAGAGAGAGAGAGAGAGAGAGAAUGAAAAACAGGAAUGAAAAAAUGGAGACAGAGAAAUCCAUCUUCUUGCAGUGUCUGACAUGAACGAAAUGCAUUCUUGCAAUUGAACUCAUCCCCUUUUCUUUCGUUGUUUCUCUUUCUAUCAUAAUCAUGUUUAUGAAUGAAAUAUAUAUACAUAUAUAUAUAUAUAUAUAUAUAUAUAUAUAUAUAUAUGUAUAAAUACAUAACGAAAAUGAGGUAAAUGUUCAGUUCAUAUUAAUAAAUUGAUAUAUAGAGAUUGAUUCAUCAAUGAUAUUAAUAUUAAAAUAAUCCUUGUACGUGGAAUUUAUAUAAUAUUGAUAACACACUCGAAUAUUAUAGAAUAAAUUUACAAAUUUGUUUUUUCUUUUUUAUAUCGACUUAUUGUUGGACGUGUACGUAGAUAGUUAUGAUUGGAGUUACUCGUAUUAUGCAAAUUACUUGUACUAUGGGGGAAAAUUCUAACGCGAUUGGGGGAAAAUAAAAUCGAAAAGCCAUUACGAUUUCAUCGAUAACGGUCGAGAUUUCUUCCUUUUCCCACUUUCGUAUCGAUAGAAAAUAAGGAAGGAUAAAGAAAAUAGGGAACGAAAAUAGCUAUUUUAUGGCAUCGAAAUGGAAAAGACACACGGAAGGCGCCGAAGAAUGUCUGUCGGAAGAAAGGGGAAGUGAAGAAUUGAGAAAGUAGAAAACGUGCUUUUGUGAUUCGAAUGGCCUUGGAUAGAAAGAAAAGGAAAGAAUAUCGACCUUUUUCUCAUAAAAUCGUAGAUUUCUAUUCUACUUAAAUUCGACAAUGCGUUUUGAUUUUUACGAUUUAUAAAUAAAUGGAGAAAGAGAGAGAGAGAGAGAGAGAGAAAAGAUAGGAAUUGUCAAUGAAAGAAAAAAAAAAUAAAACAAAAAGAGAAAGAAAAAAUUAGGUAUACUUGAUUUAUAAACGUUUAAUAAAACAAAAAUUAAAAUCUCGAAAUAUUUUCGAUGCGAUAUGAAAGAAAAAAAUUAACGAGGUAAAAAAUUGCGUACGAUCAAAUAAAUGAAUUUCAAUGAAAAAUCCUUUUCGACGUCGCGUUGCGUUGCGUUGCGUUGCAUUGCAUUGCAUCGCGUUGCAUUGCAUUGCAUCGCGUUGCAUUGCAUCGCAUCGUAUUCAUGAUAAAAGAGAGGGAAGAUUUUCGACGAAGCUAAUUUAGCGUAAAUUAGAACGGGUCGUUAUCGACGCUCGUGCUUUUCGAUUUGCAAAACGUGAACGUUUCCCAUGAAUCAGUCCCAUUCCAAUCGGAUUUUCAGCACUUGUCGAUUUCUCGCAACGUCGAUGACAGUAUUCAAAAGCAAUCUAUCUGUGGGUCGUUGAAGAGUAUCAGAGAGAGAGAGAGAGAGAGAGAGAGAGAGAGAGAGAGAGAGAGAGAGAGAUAGCCAAAUAGGAUGAUGGGGGUCGGAGCAACGUGCUAUACUGCUACCGAAACGGCGACAAAUUGUGAUUAGUCGGCAACCCUUCUCGCCUAGCAAUCCAUUAGCGAGGUGCAUACCAAACGACGGUAGUCAUUCUGUCUAUAUAUCUAUAUAUAUUUCUCUAGUUCUCUAGAUCUCUACCUUUCUCUCUCUCUCUCUCUUUUCCUUCCUUCCUUCCUUCAUCACUGUCUAUCUCUUUCACAUUCUCCCUUUCCCUCUUUUUUCCCUUCAAGAAAUAGCCGACAGAGUCAUCUUAGGGAAUCUUCAAAUCUUCUGAUUAAAAUUUGUGAAAUUGCUGUGGAUCUCUGUGCAUGAUUUUAGACUUUCUAAAAGGAAGAAGAAAAAGAAGCAGAAGAAGGAGGAGGAGGAGGAGGAGUAUAGAAAACAGUCAAAAAAUAGAGAGCCCUCGUAAGAUUUUUCUUACUGAAAGAGAUGAGCUCGGUGAAACUCGGUUGGAAAAAAAGUAAGUAGAAGGCGAAGAAGAAAAUAACGAGAUAAGACAAAAGAGUAGGUAAUGGUACACCGUGUCAAGAGACGACCAUUGGUAUAUAGAAGAGGGAGGAGAAGAAAGGAGGAGGGAAGGGAAAAAAGCUAAGAGAUCAUGGAAAGGUAUAUAGAUACCUUCAUUCUUAAAGUUUUUCACGUGACAAGGUAUAUAUUAAUGUAUAUUGUUGGUGUCUAUAUAUAUAUAUAUAUAUACACCUACCUAUCUACCCAUCUACAAUCCAUGUGACCCCGUAGCGAGGAUGAGAUUAUGGGUGGAAAAUGCAUGCAAGGAACAAAAGUGUUUUACUCGGACGAGCAACCACGAUGAUUAAUGAGAUCUUGCGUGUCUUGUGGUUAUCGCUUUUCCGUCUCGUUAGAUGGUGAGAUAUUAACCCCUGUUACGAGUCUAUUGGGGGUCUAUCAAGCUCGGUUAAAUACAUUACGGAUGUAUGCUUUAACGUAAAUGAAAUUGUUAUUAAUGUGCGGAACGACAAUUUUUUAGUUGUAAUUUUAGUCGUUUUCCUUUUUUUUUCCUCCCUUCGAAUUGGAUUUAAAUACAAAUUUUUAGUUUCGUUUUUGAUUUUUCUGGUUUUUUUUUCCCCUUUCUUUCUUUCUUUCUUGUUUUCUUUUUUUUUUUUUUUUUUUUUUACCGAUUCCCGAUUGGCUGACUCUCAUUCGCAAUCGAUAUUUAAAGAGAGAAAGAAAGAGAGAGAGAGAGAGAGGCAGACACACACAGACACUUGCGGAGUGAAUUUGAAAAGUUAGUAGGUACGUUUAAAUUCAAUGUGGAUAUACCAAUAUUCCAUAUCGUCUGGCACUUUGAAAAGAAUAUAGAAAGAAUAAAAGUCGUUCGGUUGCUCUUGCCAUUUUAGAAUACUACGCACUGUCUGCAGGUGAUGCAGGCAAUAUCCUUUUUCGAAGGAUAAAACCGUCGACGGUUUUGAGGAUACCCGUUACUUUUCGUUUCUUUCUAUCUAACUCUAAGAAGGAAGUUAGAGAUAGAGAGAUAGAGAGAUGGAGAGAUAGAGAGAUAGAGGAGCUAGCUAGCUAGCUAGCUAGCUAGCUAGCUAUACACAUCCGAUGUUAUUUUCUGAAUAUGUAGAACAGUUCCGACUGUAUGUCGAGGCAACUGGCCAAAUAUUCAUGCGACCUCAUAUCGUGGAAUGCAAACGUACGAAUCGUUUAUAUAUAUAUAUAUAUAUAUAUAUAUAUAUAUAUAUAUAUAUAUCUUCUCCCCCUAUUCCUAUCCCUGUGUCCCUUUCCUCUUUCAUCCUACGUCCAUUUUACUAUCCUUUCUCCCUCUCUCUUUGACGAUAACGUAAACCGGAUUAUGCAUCAAUGUAUACUAGUCGAUGGAUCUCUCCCAACGUACGAGGCAUUCGAUAUGCGAAGUAGGAUAAGGUGAAGUAUGAAAAGGUGAAGAGGCUUGUGCCUGAUCCACUACGACGCAUUUCUCGUUCGAAAGAGAGAAAAAGAAAGAAAGAGAGGUAAAAGAAGGAAAAAAAAAGGAAAAAAGGAAAAGGAAGGAAGGAAGGAAGGAAGAACUUUAGUACCCUCACUCCUUUCAACGAUGAUAUGUCUAUAUAUAUAUAUAUAUGUGUUUAGGUGUAUAUAUGUGUCUCACAAGACGCACAAAAAGGGAUAAAGUAAGGGUGUGCAAAAGUAUCCAAAGUAAAAAUACAAUUCUAAGCCGACAAGGGAUUCCGUAAGUCCGUAAUAUGGUGAAACGCGACGAUUUUCCUCGAAUGCGAAGACAUUUUUCGAGUUUACACACUGUCUGAAAUACAUAUCUUUUCUACCAAGGAGAGUGUACUCUCCUGUUUUUCCUGGAAUGCGAACGCUACUAAAGAAACGAAUCAAACGACAUUACUACACACUGCAACAAUUCCCAUUGCGAUAUAUAUAUAUAUGUAUACAAAUUUAUUAUACAUGUGUAUGGAUAUAUAUAUUUAUUUAUUUAUUUAUUUAUUUAUUUACUACGUAUGCAUGAACAUGGAUGUAUGAACUCGUUUAAUAUUUAUAACGAAGCAGAAUAGGUGUAAUGACAGUAAGCUCGAGUGAGUACGGGUUUGCCAAUCAGCUAAUGGAAGUGGUGCGCUUGUCAUAAAUGCACAUUGCCAAAAAGUUCUCCAUAUGAAAUUAGUCCGCGUUGGAUAGCUUUGCUAACGGGAAGUAAUAACAUAAAUCCCAUGCGAUAUUAAUAUAAAUGAAUUGCAAAAGGAAAUAAUAAAGAGAACUUACGUAUCUGAUCUUUUUCUUUUGUUUCAUUUUUUUUUGUUGUUUUUUGUUUUUUUCUUGUAAUUUUUUCUUCCACUUCCAUAGAGAUAUUCGUUUGCGGUCGAUCUUCUCUUUUCUUUUUUUCUUUUUUCUUUUUUAAAUAAUCGAUCAUCUUGAUUAUUACGCGUCGUGUAAUCAUUUAUUCGAACGUGUUUCGAAUAGAUUGGUUAUCCAAACAAUGGCGAACGUGAAAGAGAACGGAGGAUAUAUAGACUGAAAAAAAAAAAAAAAAAAAAAAAAAAAAGAAAAAAAAGAACGCAAGAAAUAUACGAAAUAACGAAAGACAAGUGACCUAUCUUAGAAGCUUGUUUGUUCUUAGUUAGAUAUAUCAGGACACUUUUGAACACUUCUCAUAGACAUCCCCGUGAUAUUUUUAUAACCUUCGUGAUUUAACGUUAAAAAAAUGAUAAAUAUAUAUAUAUAUAUGUGUUUAAAAAUUUGAUCACGAAGAAAUAUAGGGUGAGAUUAAUACGAGUUAGCAUAAAAAAAUAUUGCAAAAACCUUUGGAAAAAUUUAAAUGGAAAUUGAUAAUAUUUAACGAAAAUUUGCAAUGACGAACUACAGAAAUAAAAUGGUUUCGUUUCGUGGCUGCUCACUCGGUUCGUGUUCCGUUAAGUGGGUGGGGCUCCACAGCUCUAUCGCUUUCUCUCUCUCUCUCUCUCUCUCUCUCUCUCUCUCUCUCUCUCUCUCUUUCACACACAUACACACUUUCGUCUGGAGCUCUGCCGAUCGAUAAACAGUCCGAAUCAAAAUUCUCGAGGAAGACCUUAGCAGCGAUGAUGAAAUAUCGUCUAUCCUCAUAAAAGAUCCUAACGAAACUCGAAAACUAGUUUGUUGUAUAUAUAUAUAUCUAUAUGUGUGUGUGUGUGUAUAUAUAUAUAUAUAUAUAUAUAUAUAGAGAUAAAAUUUCCUGGCUGGCAGUAGAUGAAAGAGAAUUUACGAUAGGGGAUAAUAUAACUUGUUCUUUUAUACCUCAUAUUUUUUGAUCCAUCUCAAAGACACAGAACAAAGAUAAAAAGAAAGAAAAAAAGAAAGAAAGAAUGAAAGAAAGAGAAUGAAGGAGAAAAAUCGAUAUUUUUUAAACAUUAUCUUUAUCGUAUCGUAAUUAGAUCCAUUUCUUAUAUUCUCUUCUCUUUGGAAUUUAACCUACGAUAAUGAUUUUAUAGUGUUAUAUGAAGGGGGAGAAGGGAAUGGAUGAGUAUAUAUAGAUGAGUGGUCAAUUGGAAAUUUGCUUAGCUUGUAAAUUAAGAGGCGACGUGAUGAUGAGUGAAUUUGGAAGAAAAAUAGAUUAAUAUUGUAUUACGAAUGGGGAAUAAGUAUCGCGAGAGAAAAGAUGAAAAGACAUUUUUAUGUAAAUAAAAUGGGAGAAAAAGAGAGAGAAAAAGAGAGAGACAGAAUAAGAGAAACUUUACAGUGAUGCAAUGUCACACUUUAGAAACUAACGUUUCAUCCUUAAAAAAUUCUGUCUUCUUUUAUAAUGGAAAAGGAAAACGAUAUUAUUUUUAUUUUUCUCCGGCAAACAUUUGAUAAAUUUUAUCUCUGUCUUUCUCUGUCUCUCUCUCUCUCUCUUUAUUUCUCUUUAUCUUUUUCUUGCUCUUUGCCUGUCUUGUACAAGAUUAAAAUUGAUCGCGUUUAUUAUUUUCUCCAGGGAACCACUUCAUUUUAAAUAUAAUGAUUUUACUUCAGAACGACGACAUUUUAUUUAGUGAAAAAUUAUCGUCAAAAUAAAUAUUAAAAAAGAUGUAUGACAAAGCAAUUAAAAUAAAAAAAUAUAUACGUGGUA
This is a long non-coding RNA of Vespa crabro (European hornet), 7055 nucleotides long. RefSeq lists it as uncharacterized. Lineage: Eukaryota; Metazoa; Arthropoda; Insecta; Hymenoptera; Vespidae. The transcript has 2 exons. The record is from RefSeq and is a predicted model, not a curated record.